Molecule: non-coding RNA, 13987 nt
Organism: Podarcis lilfordi (Lilford's wall lizard)
Lineage: Eukaryota; Metazoa; Chordata; Lepidosauria; Squamata; Lacertidae
Source: the annotation of a GenBank genome assembly
GAGAUCUUUGUAAGGUUUAAUAACAAAACACCUCUAAUGUGCAUCUCACAUAGUGUCUAUAAUCAUCACCCAUCCAUCCACCAGGGGUGUAAGAUGCAGAGUAAAGCACAUUAUAUACCAUUCACAAUUGCUGACACAGCUAAUUACAGUGACUUAUCAGCACCUGCUACACUGCUACACAGCUGAAAAACUAGGUGAGGAUUUAACAUUUAAACAAACUAUUCAACAGUCUUGGGCCUCUCUGGAUCUCCUUUUUUAAUAUCAUUUGUGCUUAUGGUGGUAUCAGGGCAGUUAUACAUGACCCUGCUUUUGGUACUGUUGGUGCCCCCAAAGAUUUUGAGGCAGGCAUAUGGCUUCGUUUCCAAUUGGUGCAUAUCCCAUACCAUCCUGCUAAAAUCCUUUAACUUUUUCUUAUUUUUUACUCUAGCUACUUUGCUUUAAAAAAAUGUUUUGCCCCACUUUUGUUACACCAAGAAUGUCCCACCAGAGGACAUUAAUAAAACAACAUUGGGGAAACAUCGCAGAACAAUGAAGAAAUGAUUGAGCUUGUAUAUAUAAAAGUGCUUGUAUAUAAAGUUCUAUAUGACUUGAGGCCCAAGCUGUUGAGUCUCCAUAUGCUCCAGCCAUACCUUAUGGUCUGUGGUAGAGGCCUUUCUAACAGCACCACUGCUACAAAUGACAAGGAGGGUGGGCUUUCUCUGUGGCAGCACCUUGUCUUUGAAACUCCCUCCCAGAGGAAAUUAGGCAGUCCCCAUCCCUGACCAUAUUCAGGAGGAACUUAGACCUUUUUAGUUGUAGCUUGUUAAGGGUACUGGGAACUGUAGCUCUGUGAAGGAUAAACUGGAGUUCGCAGGAUUCUUUGGGAGAAGUCAAGAGCAUAUUGGAUGUCCUUUGAUUUUAUGGUGUGGCUAUGCCCCUGCAACUUCAGCAGGCCCAAAGGCCAUCUGGGCACUGUCUUCCCCAUUAUGGUGAGAUUGUUUGAAUUUCUAUUUCAAUUAUAGUAAUUAUUUCUAAAUUUGCAUCUGUAUACAUGUAAAAUUGGCAUAUGCAAAUCUUCAUCUUUUUUUAGUGAGGCAUUUCCUCUCUUUUGGGAAUGCAGAAAUGGUCACACUACUUUGGGUGCAAUCCCGCUGGAACAGAGCAUGUUCAAGUCCCAUUCAUUCACUUCAGUGGAAGCAUUUGGCACAAGCUUAAUUUUCAGCUUAAUUACAUUUUUGGAACAGUGCUGUAUGAUUAAUGAGAUCCCAUUUUUGUUUGGGAAUGGUUUUCCUUUAGUUCCCUGGACAGUUUUGCAUGCAUAUACUUGAUUCUAAGUUCUCUUCAUUCAUUGCCCUAUCAUCUGUUUACUUAAUCACAACUGAACGGAAGAGUUUCUCCCAUUAAACUUCUUUUCUUUACAUCUUGUAUAUGUAGCAGUAGGAUUAUAACAGUUUGGUGUCCUCUGCACCAUUGGCUAGAUUGAACUAUGCCAUUAUAACAGCCUUUCUCAAGCUUGGGUCCCCAGACAUUGUUGCACUACAACUCCCACCAUCCUGCUAACUAGGGAUAAUGGAAGUUGUAGUCAAGCAACAACUGGGGACUCAAGCUUGGGAAAGGCUGUGUUUUUGUAUACUUGCUUACGUUUGGGUUCAGGGGACAUACAGUAGCUCAGCUUUCAUAAAGUGUCUGUAAUCAGGUGGAUGCGUCAAAAUCUUGCCUGAAUAGCAAUGUUUAUUCCAGCUUCAGCCUGAAGCAUAACUGAAUGGAGAGAGUCAAAUAAUGAGAGGUAUAUAUAUACCCUGAGAUAUUCAGGAAGGGCAGGAAGUAGCAUUCUUAAAUAUAUAUUGACAAUAUAUCACAGUCACAUAAUGUCCAGACUCCAGAGGGGUAGCCACAGUAGUCUGUUGUCACAAGAACAACAAAAAGUAUUUUGGCACCUUAAAGGCGAACAUUUUUUUUUUAUGGCAUAAGCUUCUUUGAACUAGAGUCCACUUCACCAGAUGCACAAUGUGUAAUUCUUGCUGGUCAGUUAUAUAUCUACAUAAGGGUGUAAAGAGAAAUGUUAAAGUUGGAGUUAAAUGACAAUGAAUUGAAAAAGUUCCAUCCGUGACCAUUCCGUUAAAUAUAUGCAAACUGAUCCUUCACAGCAUCAGCAAUUGGCAACAGCACACUCAUUUUAGACAAUACAACUGGAGUUUAAAUUAUUAAAAGUGAGUGCAGAUACCCUUCACAACAGCAAUGGUGGUGAUGGGGAUAACAGCAUCAUCUUAGCACUGCUGAGUACAUUUAACAGCAGCAGCAGAGCAGAAUACCAUUGUCUCUCUUCAGACCCAAAUGAAUAGAAUUGAACUUUUUGAGAAUUCGGCAAUUUCAUGCUGGAGUUUCCAUUGGACGUUCCUUUGGUCCUGCCCUAACUACUCAGGGUGAUAUUUGAGCAAUAGAAUGUUCGUUAAUAGUGCAGUUUAUGUGAGGGAAGUGGAACAUAAGAAUGGAUAGAGGAAAAGAGACUUGGAGGAGCUAUGUACUGUUGCCAUAAAGAGCAGAAAAUGCAAGAUAGGGGAUAGGUGAGCUCUAGGAUAGAUCUAGGUAGGGCUGGAGGAGAACUUUGCCUGAAACCCUGGAGAGCCACUGCCAAUAGACCAUACUGAUCUAGAUGAAUCAGUAGCGGCCUGAAAAAGGAACCUAAAGGAACGGUGAGUAAAGAAGGCAGGGAGUAGUGGUGGUGGUGGUGGUGGUGUAGGAAGCAAUUGUCCUAAAGGCAGAAAGGAUUGCAUGCUGUCAGCAGAAGUAUACAGGCAAAGAACAGGACCAAGCAUCAAGAAGAGCAAAAGUGUAUGGAGAGAUGUACUUAUGAGUCAGUCUUUAUGGCUGUUCUGAAUGGUUUCAUGCAUGCUCUUGGAUGCUGCUCAGUUCUUUAGAUUGUGCUCCUUGCUGUUGGGAGGGAUCAUUUGGCCCUAGAGCAAAGGCAGGUUUGCAUUAGGAGCGAUCAGUGGUCAACCAUAGGCAAGCUUUUGUUUUUGGGUCUGACUCAGUGAAUGAAUUUGGCCAAGUGUCAUUCAUGGGUCAAGAAGCAUGGCCAUGGGAGGUCAUGGAACCUAAAUCUCUCACUGGGUUACCCAGAGCAGCAGAUAGCUAGAAUUCCAGCUCAACAUCUGAUUUUUUGCUUCAUGAGACAGAUGUUUAGGGCAAAAGCAUCUGCUGUGUUUUCGCUCUCUCACUCUGCAUCUCUUCUUCUCAUUCCUCGUUCAUGCACAACAGUAAAAAGAAAAAGAAAAAAAGAAUUAGGUUGUCAAACACUUAAUAAUUCGUUUCCAUCACAAUCUGAUGAAUGGAAUUUUUACAUCAUUUGCUGUAGUUUUACGGGGUAACAGUGUUCACUGAGGAGGAGAAGGCGAUGGUUUAUACAGUGAAGAAAAGGCGAAACCAGAGAACGAAUGUUAUGGUUGUGAGUGGUUCACCUGCAUAGAGAACUAGGCACAUCUGCUACAAAAUUUGGUUGAUUUUUAUACCAGUUUAACACUCAUGACUUGCAUAAAUAAUCCCAGGACCUGCAGCUUGCUGAGGCUGCUAAUUAUGUCUUAUUUAUUAAAGUAUUUUCAACACCACUCUUCAGCCAAAGAAAGCUUCCAGGGUGGUUUGCAGAUAUCAACGGCAGGACAGAUCUUACCAUCAGAUUUAUAAUCUGAAAGUGGCACAAAGGGGGAAAAGAGAAUAGGAGAUAGGAGCAGGGAAAGCCAACUCAAACACUAGUUCUUAUUUAUAAAGUUUUAACGACAAGCUGGAAUGGAAACAGUUCAAAGAGAGCAUGAGCCAAAUGUGGUUUGUAUCUCAGUUGAGCCAAUGGAGUGGCCCUGCUUCCCUUCCUCCCCCCUUGACUGCAGUCUGAUGGAAUGGCUGCUGUCAGGUGACAGCUGAGGGAAAAGGAAAGCUGAUGAUGCCUUCAAAGAUCUAUAAAGAGAAAAUUUAUAGCCCCUUACAUUUCCCUGGAGGGCAAGAGAAUAGCAGUUAAACUAUUUUAGAUGUAGAUGGGCCUUAAGCAUUUGGUUUUCAGCCUGGUCUUCAUGCUUUGGGGAACAGAACAGCCAUUCACAAAAUAUUAGCGGUCAUUCUCUGUGUCAUAAAGGGAUUGUGGUCUUCUGAAAAUCUGAUUUGAAAGCUCUUUGGUUACAAAAAUAAAACAAAGCACGUUAACAAUGGAAUUUUUUUAAAAAAAGCUUUCAUAUAUUAAUGUAAAUCCUUUCACACGAGAUAACUGAAAAAUUUAAAAGUAAACUUACCCCAGUAUUUGAAGAUAAGGCAAAUCAUAACCAGUUUAUUGAAAAGAUUUGGUACACUAAGAGAAAACACAAGGUUUGAAAUAUUAAUUUCAAAAAGCAAACACUCAAAAGGAAUCAUAGGAGAUAUAUAUAAAAUAACUGCAGAAGUGGAAUCAUCCCAGCCUAGAUGUCAAUCAAAAUGGGAUACAGAUAUGACUAGCAAGAUAUCUCAAGAAAAAUGGGCCUCGUUCUGGGAGAAACAUUUCCAGAUUUACACUUUGUAGGAGUUUAAAAUUUAUAAAAUCAUGCCUCAUUGGUAUCUGUCUCCAGAUAGACUGCAUAAAAUAUAUCCAACAAUAAACAAUCGGUGUUGCAGAUGCUCCAAAUGUGACUAUUUGUCAUGUACUUGGAGGAAUGUCCGAUUAUUAAAUUAUUUUUGGAGUCAGUAUUAACAGAAAGCGACAAUGUCCUUGGCUAAGUCCACCCCAUGAAUCCUAUUCUAACAAUAUUUGGAUAUCUCAACAUCAUCAUUCCAGAGUCAAAAAUUGGUAGCCUAUUUAUUAACUGCAGCAAAAAUUUGGGAAAUGACCUUUAUGACUAAAGUUACAAGUCUUAAUAAGAGUAAGAGAAGACAUACAAAUAGAAUAUAAUUCUACCAGAAAAUAGAGUUUGUUUCUACUAUAUGCAAGGUGCAAGAGCAAAUAAAUCAUUAUUCCCUGUUAAGAGGCAUAUAGACAUUAGAGAAAACUAUGAGUUGGCCACCCCUGCAGUAUGUCAUUGGCAUACACAGAAUGUGCCUAAUCCACAUUUUUUUCAAAUAUCUAAAACAAUUUCAUUCAUAAACAGCAACAAGGCACAACAGUUUAUCAUUUUAGCUAUUGGAUUAUUGCCUUAAACACAUGCGUGCACACACAAUUCCACUAAUGCCCAUGUACAGAAGACUAGAUUUUUUUAAAUUUUUUUAUUUUUAAGUUUUUAUUGUUAAAAUAAUUCAGCAUUAAUACACACAUAUUGCGAAUAUACAAGCAUACAAACAUACAUUUCAUACAAUCCUUAAAAAUAUUCAAACAUACCUACAUUCAGUCCCACAGAUAAUUCAUUUUCCCACCACCAUCCCUCAGGGGGUGAGGGGUGAGAGAAGACUAGUUUCAAAUAAUGUAGAAUACUGAAAGCUUGAUCCUUUUUGUUGUUAUCAUCAUUAUUGUGUUUUUUUAAAAAAACCAGUCUUGAUUGCUUCACAAGUAUCAUGGUGUGGGAAACUUUAAUGUGAUGGAAUUCAUACAAAUAGACAUGGCAUCAAAGUGUCUGAAGUCCUUUGGGAGGAAAGGCAGGUUCGAAAUUUAAUAAAUAAAAUGGCACCCUGGGACACAAAGGCAUUUAGGUAGGAAUGAAUGAAUCAUGUUGCUUCUGCGUCAAAACUCACUGGCACACUGUAUUUUUGUUUUUUCCUGAAUUUGUAUAUCUACCUUUUAAAUCUGGAUUCUGGAGGGUGGGGUAGUCAAUUGAUUUUCCUCUUCCUUCAUUAAGAAUAGAUUUAUUGUACCAACAUAGUUUGAUGCAGCUAUCUGUUUAUGCCAGCAUGCUGUGCCUUGGUGAAAGCCUAAGUCAGGCCCAAUAGAGGGCAUUGAUGAGAACAUUUAUAGAACAUUUAUGAAUGAUUAUGAAGGCCUCCCCAAGUAUUUUUGAGUGGACCUCAGGAUUUACCAUCAGAAAUAUGUGUAUUUCCUGAAUUUGAUGCAUAGUUUGGGAAUUGUAUUAUCUUUCCUGUAUCUGAUGUAUAUUUUGUGAACUUUAUACUUCAUUAAAUUUAUGUAUAUUUCCUGAAUUUGAUGAUACUGUGUCAACUAUAUAAAGGACUGUGUAUAUGUAUGACUUCAUUUCCACGGGGGCUAGAGAAACUUAUCUUAGGACCCCACAGGUUGAAAACAUGUAAUGUAAAACUAAGGAGUACAAAGGCUUAAACCUAGAUCUUAAGGGGAACUUGCUUUGCUAAGUUCACACAGCAAGCAUUCAAUUUUUGGCAGCUCCAACUGUUACCUUAUCCCACCCUUUCAUGCUAUUUGACUACAUUAGCAUCCAUUUUAUUCCAAGCUCACAAAGGACCUAUCUCAAAUCUAUUACCUAUCAUUGGAGUGAUGCCCCAGCAUGGUUGUAAGAUCAGUGUUGCUGUUCCAAAAUAACAUCUGGACGCUAUCCUCCUAUUCUCUUAGUCUGCAGUAGAGGUUGCAAUUGUUACCAUUAAGUAGAUUAAAAUAACCGAAUGUGUAUUUGUUUUAAAACUUUUCUGAAUUGCCCUUUCAUUUAAAAAUAAAUAAAUCCAGGCUGGUUUACCAUAGUUCAUACAACACAAUAAAAGAGCAAUAAUCAAUAACGUGGUUAGGGGGAGUAAAAGACAGUCCUAAAAACAGUUGCAGCAGAAGUGAAACACCGGAGGUUUAAAGUAUGAGAAAGGGGGAAAACAUAGUACUUAAAAAAGAUUAAGAUAUCUGUCAGGUGAGCUUCUCUAAGGUGAGAAUUCCACAAGUUGGAUACCACAGGCAGGAGCACCACAAUGCAUGUUGUUUGUCAUUGCGUUCCUCAGUACUAUAUAUAUUUUUUCUGAAUCAAAGGCUGCCAUUCUAGGCAUGCUUAGCUGGGAGUAGGUCUCACUGACUUACUUUCAAUGGCAGCCUGUAGGGUGAUUCACUAAACAAAACCGGCACCAUUCCUACCCAUAUGUUUACAUGCUGCAAAUGGCCUCCACUCUCACUCCCCCCCAUCAGUGUAUAUGUCAAAUUAGUAUGUUUGGGCCCAAUGCACACUGGCUUCAACUUACCUACUUUUGCCAUUUAAUUGUUCCAAUUAUCACCCAGUUUGAAGAGCUUCUUCUGGAGCUCUUUGCUUUUAUGCUUUUUAGCAGCCUAAAUAAUUUGGCGUCAUCAGCCCACGGUGAGGCAUUCUUUGCCAUGGACACACCAGCUAGAAAAUAAGUGAGCAAACCACAUGCUCAAGAUGCUUUGCAGGGUGUGAAUGUACAUGGGGUAUUCCUACACUGAGAGAAGAAAACCUCAUUGAGAGACUGUCUUUGAGACCUUUGGAAGAAAGCUUGUAUUGGUCUAAGACAUGCUUAGACAACGCUGGGAAACCUGCAGCCCUCCAGAAAUUGUUGGACUCCAACUCCAAUCAACUCCAGCCAGCAUGAUCAAUGGUCGGAGAAGAUGGAAGCUGUAGUCCGGCAACAUCUAGAGCGCCAUAGAUUCCCCAACUCUGGUCUAACGUAUAUGGAAAUUAGAAGAGAACAAUGAUUAACUCGUUUCCACCCCUCUCUUCCAUAAGUAUGAAAUGCUUUCACAGAUGUGGACCGCUGUUACAAUUGUAAUAACUGAAAAUCAAUCCUUAGAAAGAUUAAUAAAGGAAGGCAGAGUAUUGAGACAAGAAUUUAUUAGAACCGAAUAUGAGACUGGGUCCAAUUAUUAAGAAGCAAAAAAGAGAGAGAAAGAGAUAAAAAGAGAAAGUAAUAUACUGCGAAAUUACAGAUAGCAGUUGCAUUACGUGACUCAAGAUUCCAGCAUGCUAUUGCUUGAACGUAUUAAAGCAGAAACGUGUUUAAUUAAAAUGCACAAAAAGAUACAAGCAGGAUGUCAAUGUAGUGCUGCAGGGGAAUACAAAAAGGUUGUCUUAAUUAUCUCCAUAAACUUGACAAGCGUAUGUCCUAAUUUGCAUCAAUAUUGUAGCAACCUUAACAUCAUAGUGGUGCUUCUCUUCUGGGUGACCUAUUGAACCCAGCUGCAGCAGAGAGGUCAUGGCCUUGGAACUCCUAUGCUUUUGAGCUCCUGUCUGCAUAAUAUCAGCCAGUUGGGGGGGGGGGGAAUAGUCUAACAUUUCUCCAAUGAAAAUAGGGACACCCUACGGAAAAGGAAGACAUUCCGGGAUCAAAUCAAUCAAAAAACGGGAUGGCUUCUGUAAAUCUGAGACUGUCCCUGGAAAAUAGGGACACUUGGAGGUUUUGUUGUCCUGCUAUUCAAUACAAUUUUACCAAACAUCAUACCUAAAGCAGGAACAGCAAACCUACAGCAUAAGGUGCAAAAUAUCCCAUUCCCUCUUGCACAGAGCAUUCAUUAAUGAUAUAGAACUGCUUUGAAUUCCAAGACAUUGAUUGUCAUUAGGUAAGCCAUUAGGUCUGUUCACAAUUUUUAAAUUUAACCUGCUAUCGAUACUCCUGUGCUAUAUCAUUCUCCUACCAUUGAUUAUCCAACCCAGUUCAACCCAGUUGUUUUUCCUCUCUCAGAAAGUUCCUUCAUAAUCUUAGUCAAUGUCUUUUUGUGCAGGAGCAGCCCCAUAACGCAGCUAGGACUGAUGAGAGUUGCGGUUCAAAGCAUCCAGAGAGGACCAAGCUGGGAAAUGCUGAGUUGAGGCAAUGCAUUAGAUAUGGCAGACCAAACAAACCCUGUAUGUGAGGUCUUGCUUUUGCUUUGGAUUCUCAUUUUGUUGAAUGUUGGUUUCUCAUUACAGACCGACUUUGGGGUUUGAAAGAAACAUUAGAAGUUGUUAUGUGAUGCCACCAAAAUCAGUGUCGUGAAUGUGAGCAGAAGCACAAAUGUUAACUGCGACACAUCACCCUUUGGGUGCUUCCAUACUCCAAGCUGACCAGAUUGUGUUUCUCUUUCCUCUGCAGAGAUCCCUGGAUGCCCUGGAAUGGUUGAAAGUUGAGUGGGUUAAGCUUUUGCCCUCCUAACCAUUUGCAACUCUCAGAAGCUCAUGAAGAGACAAGUCUAAGCUCUGCUUUACUUCUGUUGGCACAGAGGAACUCUGCAUUCCUUUGCACAGGGAUGAAAGGAAGGACAGCUAGCAAACCAAGUUUCCAGGCUGUGAAGCAUAAGAAAACUGCAGUGAAUGAACCAUUUCGGGGAUUCAGCUGUGAGAAGCCAAAUCAGUUCUGUGUAACUACUGCUUGAGAUAGGAUUGGUGGAGCCUUCGCAGUGCAAUAAUGAAAGGCUUUCCUAGAGCUGAAGAACAUGAGUUUCCAGAAGUAGGGGAAGAGUUAAUGAUUUUAUUAACUCACCCACACUGUUUCCACUGGAAAUAUCCUCAAGGAGCUGAAAAGCUUUGGGAAGACAUUUUCCCAUCUUGUUGUUAGUCUACUUGUGGAAGGGACAUCAAAUAUCUGGCUUCCUGGUGAAGCCAGCAGAUUGCUAGGAUUGGGACGGGAUCAUUAUGCAGCCCAAACGUGAAAAGAAUUUGGGAAUUAAUACACCGAGGAGCACUCUUGUAAAACCAAAUUGGUUUGCAGUGCACAUUCAAAGCUGGUUUCUGCUCCUGGAAGUAUUUUGCCAACUUUUCCCCAAGCCAACACUUGUCCCUAUAGCCAAGUGGUUCCACAAAGACAGAAGUGAAUAAUCACCUUGUGGUAGGAUUUCAAAAAAAUUGACUCAACGUUUACCAAGGCCCUUAUUCAGAGGCAGUUCUCAGUAAUAUUGACUUCUGUGCAAUUUCAAGAGACCCCAAGAGACCAAGAUUGAAAGGCAGCUUCUCUCAAUUUUUUUUAAAAAAAGAACUUGCAAGCAACCAAACACCCCUCAUAUACUGUUCUUGAAGCUAAGCUUUCUGCAUCAACCUCCUGGUGUCAUAGGAUGCCUGCACUCUUCUUUUGGAAUCUUGAGAUGUCUGGCCUUGACUACUCAGCUCGCUCCAAGUGCUGAUGAUGUUUAACCCCUUUUGCCAGGAGACACUUCCAAGGCUUUGUAGGAAGGGGAAAGAAGCCUUGUUGAAUACUUGGGAGAGACAGACCACUGCCAGAGAAGCUUAUGCGAGGAGUCUGGAGUCGAAGUUGGAUGGCCAAGGGUGGUUUCAGAAAAGGGGAGAAUCUUUCAAGUUGUGGUUUUGUAAGAAAACUCAAUUCCCUGUAUAUUACAUUAACAACUCUGAGGUGUUAAAAAAAAAGAAAAAGCUUUCAAAUGUAAUCUGUUUCAGCCUGGAAGGCAACAGGCAGCUUAAAAAUGCAGAAGGAAAGGUUCUUCAUUUUGAUGAUUAUGUUAAGGGCUUUGUCCCGUAAGAUUUAAAAGAUGCCUGGAGCCAAACCAUGAAUUAUUGAGGCUUCUGUGUGUGUAGUGUCCUGUCCCUUUGACGCAGUGUGCAAUAUUGCUAAGGAUCAAAAGACCUUCUACUGUCUGCAGCAAAAGAGAAAGAGAAACCCAUGCUAUCAACUGCAAGGGGGAAUGAAGCUAUCCAUCAGCAGAGAAGCUGGUGUUCUUGCCAUUGUGCAUGACAAGUGAUUGUACUGCUGUUUGCUCUCAUGGACUUUGUGCAAGCAUGAGCCUCUUAUUCAUUGGACCGCUUUGAACCCAUUGGAUUCCUAAACAUCAUGUGCAGGGGGGAGAAGGGAUUUGGGGCUCUGCAAAGCAUGUUGCCUGUGAAAUUAAGACACACCGGGCUUCCAUGUGUGCUGCUGUAAAGUUGUGGUGUCUAUUUAUUUAUUUAUUGGGUAAGGAUGAGUUCUGGUUUCUUCACCUUCCUUACUAUGGGGGAAGAUGGUGCCAAAUCUCACAGAGCAAUGGGUCACUGGCUGCUCCAAAAUAAAAAAAACUGAAUCAAUUGUGUGAUGGUGUGCAAUAUCUGUCAUUUUCUUCUUACUUUGCUGGUCCAGAAGAGACCAUGUCAGUAUGCUGGUUCCUCUGCAGUGCAUUCUGUCUCCAUUUCUGCUUUCUUAGGUACGCCAUGUGUAGUAUAAAAAAACCAAAUUUGAUUUAAUGCUUAGAGGUUCUUUACAUGCCCUCUUUGUGUACAAUCAGCUGGCCUAGAGCCUCACUGGAUAUAAACCAGGCCAGCUUCACUACAGUCUCUCUGUUUAUAUAUGCAUAUUUCUCCAGUGGAGCCUCUCCACUGUAGCUUCCUUUCAUGCCUUGCAAGCUACUUGUGCAUUCACUGCGUAUGCAAACAUUUUCAUUAGCCACACUGGCAUUUAACCAUUAUCUACUACUACUACUACUACUACUACUACUAAUUAUUAUUUAUUUAUACCCCGCCCAUCUGGCUGGGUUUCCCCAGCCACUCUGGGCAACUCCCAACAGAAUAUUAAAAACACGAUAAAACAUCAAACAUUAAAAACUGCCCUAAACAGAACCAAACUAGGCAAGACACAGAAGACCAGUGAACAGGAUCUCCUGCUUAAAUAAAUACAUAAAAGCAGGCGCAGGGUGUGUUGGAAUUAUUUACACCGGACAAGAGGGUACACAGAGACUGAACAUGGAGCCCGGCACGCUUCCGUUGCGGAACUCUGCAAGCUAUCCGUGCCUCCUGCAAGAAUCCUCCUCAGGCCUCUUUCUCUUGCCGGUAGCAGAGCGAAACACAGCGGUGAGAAGCAGAGUGCAGCACGUGUGGAAUAAAUCAGUCCAGACACAAGGCAGUCCUUAUCUACUCUUGCCUUUUAAUCAUGAAGAAUAACAUCAUAAAUUCAGACCUGGCGAGAACUGACACAUUCUCCCUUUCGCAUCACGUCCGAAAGUCAGACUGAAACACACGGAGUCAAACCCCUCCCUUAAGUGUUUCUAACCACGCCUCAGGAAAGAGACGUCACCAGAACUCUUUAACUCUGUGAGUUCUGAAACCAUUCACACCCCUCUCGUCACGAAUCCUGAGGGGAAACUGUGAACCCCUAUUUACAGACCUCUUUGAGUUCAACUCACCUCCCAUUGCCUUUUGCCUCCCACUGGCAUCCAUCCCAGGCAAUUGUUGAAUCCCUUCCACACUCCCAGAAUCACACUGUGCGAAACCAACCCACGCACUGGUGACCUGAAACCUCUCCGGUGGAAUCCCCUUUGUGGUCCGAGUUGACCGCCGGAGCACAACCUCAGGCGCUCCUCCUGACCCACUGGGGUCAGCAAGUGUGUCUCCAGCAAGCUCAGAAGACUCCCCUCUGACUUGCUGCGUCUUCGGGCUUCCUGCACUUGGCUAACAGGAGAUGAAGGCUCACUCUUGGGUUCCCUCUUAACCUGUGGAGAAACCCACCCCUGUGCUUGACCAUCAUCAGCAACCUGGUCUUCAGCAACAGGCUCCGCCUCUGCCUCUCCUUCCUCCCUUUCUUCCUCCUUUUCCUCCCCCUCAGAAUCGGACAAGCAGUCUGAGAGAAAAUCAGAACCAUACCUAGGCUGUGACCAACCAUCCUGCUCAAAGAACUCAGCAUGCUUGCUGACCAGCAGCGUGGUCUGAUCACCCUCUGGGUAUGCAAACUUCCACCCAUUUGUUGCAGGAUCAUACCCACAGAAGAUCAUGUCCUGGUACCUAGGACCAUCCUUCUUCCGUUGCGCUGUUGGUAUUGGCACUGAAGCCUUGGAACCAAACGAACGGAAGAAAUGCACCUGUGGCUUCCUCUUGUGCAACAGAAAAUACGGUGUGUCACCUACAUCGUGAUUGUAGGACCUGUUAAAAACAAAGUUGGCAGCUUUCCAAGCUUCACUCCAAAAGCUCUGAGGCAGCCCAGAGUCACCCAGCAAAACUCUGACAGCUUCAGCCAGUGUUUCACUCCUGUGCUGUGCCACGCCUCUCCCUUGAGGAGACUUUGCACCCGUCACGUGGUGACGUAUUCCUUUUUCCUUGAAAAACUCCUCCAGAGCAGACCCAGUAAACUGUGACCCUCGGUCGCUCUUGAACCCUUGCACCCUGGUGGAAAACCUUCGUUCCACCUCCGCAACCCAAUCCUGGAUCAGUUGCGCCGCCUCCCCCUGUGAUUUGAGAGAGAAACACCAGCCAACCUGGCUGUGGUCAUCUGUCAGCGAUAGCACAUACUUGGCCCCACCCAGACUCUCACACCUCAUGGGUCCUGACAGAUCUGUGUGAAUCAACUCAAAAGGUUUUGUGGUUACCCUCUUUACACCGGGAAACCUGCACCUUUGAACCUUGCUGCAUGCCCUGCACACUAGGGAUCUCUCACAUGGUGUGAUUUUACAUCCUUCGGUGCAGCCUGGCAGCCUCUUAACAUCCUCCAGACAAGCAUGAGACAUUCUCUUGUGCCAUACAUGAACACAUGAAUCAUGGCUGGGAACACUAGCACACUGCGCCUGUGCUUUCCCUGCAUUCCCACCACCCUCCAGAGGUGUUUCCAGAACAAAGAGAUUGUCCUUGCUCUCCACGUUGACAAGUUGCCUCCCACAACCCCUUGGCUACCAGCCAGGCCUUUAGCUUCCGGCUCCAUUCGGCCCAAUUUUGUCCAUUUAAUUUCUCAAAGGGAACUGAGAAUGAUUCACGAUCGUCUGCCAUCUCCUCCCCGGGGCUAAGCUUACUCACGUCUCCCGGCAGUAGCUUCUCCGCCUCCCGGCUCCGGCAGAUCGCUUCUCCCCAGCGAGCUCCUUCCAGCUUCAAAGACACAGCUCCAGAGCUCCAGCUGGACCCCAGCAACUUUCCUGCUGGCUUCCCCACACGUGGGACGUUCCUGCAAUGCUUCAAAGCUUUGGCGAGCUGCCAUAACCUGUUGGAAUUAUUUACACCGGACAAGAGGGUACACAGAGACUGAACAUGGAGCCCGGCACGCUUCCGUUGCGGAACUCUGCAAGCUAUCCGUGCCUCCUGCAAGAAUCCUCCUCAGGCCUCUUUCUCUUGCCGGUAGCAGAGCGAAACACAGCGGUGAGAAGCAGAGUGCAGCACGUGUGGAAUAAAUCAGUCCAGACACAAGGCAGUCCUUAUCUACUCUUGCCUUUUAAUCAUGAAGAAUAACAUCAUAAAUUCAGACCUGGCGAGAACUGACACAUUCUCCCUUUCGCAUCACGUCCGAAAGUCAGACU